UCCCUCUUAUCUCAGUGGUAGGACGCAUGACUCGUACAAUAAUGUAUGGACAUGAUGAGGUCAGUCGUUCAAUCUGGCAAGUGGGAA
This is a non-coding RNA of Termitomyces sp. 'cryptogamus', 87 nucleotides long. Lineage: Eukaryota; Fungi; Basidiomycota; Agaricomycetes; Agaricales; Lyophyllaceae. The record is from the annotation of a GenBank genome assembly.